This 253-nucleotide ribosomal RNA is filed under the name uncultured bacterium. RNAcentral's name for it is "partial 16S ribosomal RNA". It matches the Rfam family "Bacterial small subunit ribosomal RNA", at positions 524 to 776 of the family's 1533-position model. The record is from RNAcentral.
UACGGAGGAUCCAAGCGUUGUCCGGAUUUAUUGGGUUUAAAGGGUGCGUAGGCGGUCUAAUAAGUCAGUGGUGAAAGUUUGCGGCUUAACCGUAAAAUUGCCAUUGAAACUGUUGGACUUGAGUAUGGUUGAGGUAGCUGGAAUGUGUCAUGUAGCGGUGAAAUGCUUAGAUAUGAUACAGAACACCAAUUGCGAAGGCAGGUUACUAAACCAUAACUGACGCUGAGGCACGAAAGCAUGGGGAUCAAACAGG